UCCCUGGUGGUCCAGCGGCUAGGACUCCAUGCUCCCAAUGCAGGGAAUCCAGGUUCGAUCCCUGGGUCAGGGAA
Ovis aries (sheep) is the source of this 74-nucleotide non-coding RNA. The record is from Rfam. NCBI's taxonomy places the organism in Eukaryota, Metazoa, Chordata, Mammalia, Artiodactyla, Bovidae.